Molecule: ribosomal RNA, 1439 nt
Filed under: Corynebacterium sp. HMSC072B08
Lineage: Bacteria; Bacillati; Actinomycetota; Actinomycetes; Mycobacteriales; Corynebacteriaceae
Description: partial 16S ribosomal RNA
Rfam family: Bacterial small subunit ribosomal RNA
Source: RNAcentral
GGGUUUUUGAUGGAGGGUUUGAUCCUGGCUCAGGACGAACGCUGGCGGCGUGCUUAACACAUGCAAGUCGAACGGUAAGGCUCCAGCUUGCUGGGGUACACGAGUGGCGAACGGGUGAGUAACACGUGGGUGACCUGCCCUGCACUUCGGGAUAAGCCUGGGAAACUGGGUCUAAUACCGGAUAGGACCGCACCGUGAGGGUGUGGUGGAAAGUUUUUUCGGUGUGGGAUGGGCCCGCGGCCUAUCAGCUUGUUGGUGGGGUAAUGGCCUACCAAGGCGGCGACGGGUAGCCGGCCUGAGAGGGUGGACGGCCACAUUGGGACUGAGACACGGCCCAGACUCCUACGGGAGGCAGCAGUGGGGAAUAUUGCACAAUGGGCGGAAGCCUGAUGCAGCGACGCCGCGUGGGGGAUGACGGCCUUCGGGUUGUAAACUCCUUUCACCAUCGACGAAGGGUUUCUGACGGUAGAUGGAGAAGAAGCACCGGCUAACUACGUGCCAGCAGCCGCGGUAAUACGUAGGGUGCGAGCGUUGUCCGGAAUUACUGGGCGUAAAGAGCUCGUAGGUGGUUUGUCGCGUCGUCUGUGAAAUUCCGGGGCUUAACUCCGGGCGUGCAGGCGAUACGGGCAUAACUUGAGUACUGUAGGGGAGACUGGAAUUCCUGGUGUAGCGGUGAAAUGCGCAGAUAUCAGGAGGAACACCGGUGGCGAAGGCGGGUCUCUGGGCAGUAACUGACGCUGAGGAGCGAAAGCAUGGGGAGCGAACAGGAUUAGAUACCCUGGUAGUCCAUGCCGUAAACGGUGGGCGCUAGGUGUGGGUUUCCUUCCACGGGAUCCGUGCCGUAGCUAACGCAUUAAGCGCCCCGCCUGGGGAGUACGGCCGCAAGGCUAAAACUCAAAGGAAUUGACGGGGGCCCGCACAAGCGGCGGAGCAUGUGGAUUAAUUCGAUGCAACGCGAAGAACCUUACCUGGGCUUGACAUAUACAGGAUCGCGCCAGAGAUGGUGUUUCCCUUGUGGCUUGUAUACAGGUGGUGCAUGGUUGUCGUCAGCUCGUGUCGUGAGAUGUUGGGUUAAGUCCCGCAACGAGCGCAACCCUUGUCUUAUGUUGCCAGCACGUUGUGGUGGGGACUCGUAAGAAACUGCCGGGGUUAACUCGGAGGAAGGUGGGGAUGACGUCAAAUCAUCAUGCCCCUUAUGCCCAGGGCUUCACACAUGCUACAAUGGUCGGUACAGUGGGUUGCCAGUCCGUGAGGGCGAGCUAAUCCCGCAAAGCCGGUCUCAGUUCGGAUCGGGGUCUGCAACUCGACCCCGUGAAGUCGGAGUCGCUAGUAAUCGCAGAUCAGCAACGCUGCGGUGAAUACGUUCCCGGGCCUUGUACACACCGCCCGUCACGUCAUGAAAGUCGGUAACACCCGAAGCCAGUGGCCUAACACAUUUU